This 449-nucleotide ribosomal RNA is filed under the name uncultured bacterium. Its description in RNAcentral is "partial 16S ribosomal RNA". It matches the Rfam family "Bacterial small subunit ribosomal RNA", at positions 29 to 523 of the family's 1533-position model. The record is from RNAcentral.
AACGAACGCUGGCGGCAUGCCUAACACAUGCAAGUCGAACGAGAUCUUCGGGUCUAGUGGCGCACGGGUGCGUAGCGCGUGGGAAUCUGCCCUUUGGUUCGGAAUAACAGUUGGAAACGACUGCCAAUACCGGAUGAUGACGAAAGUCCAAAGAUUUAUCGCCAGAGGAUGAGCCCGCGUAGGAUUAGCUAGUUGGUGUGGUAAAGGCGCACCAAGGCGACGAUCCUUAGCUGGUCUGAGAGGAUGAUCAGCCAAACUGGGACUGAGACACGGCCCAGACUCCUACGGGAGGCAGCAGUGGGGAAUAUUGGACAAUGGGCGAAAGCCUGAUCCAGCAAUGCCGCGUGAGUGAUGAAGGCCUUAGGGUUGUAAAGCUCUUUUACCCGGGAUGAUAAUGACAGUACCGGGAGAAUAAGCUCCGGCUAACUCCGUGCCAGCAGCCGCCGUAA